UGAUUUAUCCAUCCAAUGAAAGCUGAAACCUUCACGUAAACACCAGGUACAUCUAUACGGCCACAUCCGAAACCCCACGAUACUAAUCCGGCUAGUUCGUAAAAACCGUCAUCUUGACAGACCAGUGGGCCUCCGCCAUCCCCCUGCAAACAUAUUGAAGAAUAACGCUACUCACUUGACACGCAUCAUUGCCUUGUUCACCUCCUGCACAGAAACUACUGGCUGGCAGAAUGAAUAUCUUCUCAGUUACCGCAUUCACCUUUCUGAUGCAUUCAGCGUCGCUGACUAUCGGUAUUUCUGCUUCUCGUACUCUCAGUGGUAUAGGGCCUGCUGCAAUCCAAUCGAUAUGAGUAUUAGCUUGGAAGGAUCACAAGCAGUGUGACUGACUCCUCUAGCUGGUAAACAUACCAAACAUACACCUUCCCUCAAUUCAGCCUGCCCAUGUAGUUUUAGAAGUGCUAUGUCAUUGUCAAGAGUCUGACUAUUAUGAUUGUGAUGGAUAUAUGUGGUCGCAACUCGUAAAGUUUGAGCGCCAGGACUGCCAUACUUGCGGACAAAAUCGGAAAUAUUCUUCACUUACUGAAACAUGUGAAUGACAAGUAUGAAACAAUACAGGAGCCUGGACAUUCUGGACGUGGAUCUGGUGGCAAAGGAGCCAUAGUCGUAGUUGGUCUCGGCGGUGUUGGCCGAGGCUUAUUACGCUGUAAAGUCGAGAGAAAUAGGACAUCAGUAAACCCAAAUGAGGUCGGUGUAAUUUUUAUUACGACGUACUGACCUGGGGUGGGUUUCUUGUAUUAUCGCAACAGAUCGAGCCUGAUGCGCAAGUAGAUGUCUUAGCGACAAGAACGUUUGGACGCUCACAGAAGGCUGCCAUGAUGUUGAGCAAACAAAAUCCUGGACAUCGAGGCAGCUUGGAUGGUGGAGCUCUAGUGGAAGGACGUGGAGUUGUAGUAGUAGUACUUUCCGGCUAUUGAAAUGAACCACAUCGUUUAACAUUUA
Long non-coding RNA from Athalia rosae (coleseed sawfly), 999 nucleotides. RefSeq lists it as uncharacterized. The annotation marks the transcript as partial. Lineage: Eukaryota; Metazoa; Arthropoda; Insecta; Hymenoptera; Athaliidae. The record is from RefSeq and is a predicted model, not a curated record. The transcript has 4 exons.